UACGGGGGGAGCAAGCGUUGUUCGGAUUUACUGGGCGUAAAGGGCGCGUAGGCGGUCAGCACAAGUCAGGUGUGAAAUCUCCGGGCUUAACUCGGAAAGGUCAACUGAUACUGUGCGACUAGAGUGCAGAAGGGGCAACUGGAAUUCUCGGUGUAGCGGUGAAAUGCGCAGAUAUCAGGAGGAACACCGAUUGCGAAGGCAGCUCGCUGGAACGUUACUGACGCUGAGACGCGAAAGCGUGGGGAGCAAACAGG
Molecule: ribosomal RNA, 254 nt
Filed under: uncultured bacterium
Lineage: Bacteria
Description: partial 16S ribosomal RNA
Rfam family: Bacterial small subunit ribosomal RNA
Source: RNAcentral